This 659-nucleotide ribosomal RNA is filed under the name uncultured fungus. RNAcentral describes it as "eukaryotic LSU rRNA". It matches the Rfam family "Eukaryotic large subunit ribosomal RNA", at positions 24 to 664 of the family's 3401-position model. Lineage: Eukaryota; Fungi. The record is from RNAcentral.
CCCGCUGAACUUAAGCAUAUCAAUAAGCGGAGGAAAAGAAACUAACAAGGAUUCCCCUAGUAACUGCGAGUGAAGCGGGAAAAGCUCAAAUUUAAAAUCUGGCAGCCUUUGGCUGUCCGAGUUGUAAUCUAGAGAAGUGCUAUCCGCGCUGGACCGUGUACAAGUCUCCUGGAAUGGAGCGUCAUAGAGGGUGAGAAUCCCGUCUCUGACACGGACUCCCAGGGCUUUGUGAUGCGCUCUCAAAGAGUCGAGUUGUUUGGGAAUGCAGCUCUAAAUGGGUGGUAAAUUCCAUCUAAAGCUAAAUAUUGGCGAGAGACCGAUAGCGAACAAGUACCGUGAGGGAAAGAUGAAAAGAACUUUGGAAAGAGAGUUAAACAGUACGUGAAAUUGUUGAAAGGGAAACGCUUGAAGUCAGUCGCAUCGGCUGGGAAUCAACCUUGCUCUUUUGCUUGGUGUAUUUCCCAGCUGAUGGGUCAGCAUCAAUUUUGACCAAUGGAAAAAGGUCAAGGGAAUGUGGCAUCUUCGGAUGUGUUAUAGCCCUUGGCUGUAUACAUUGGUUGGGAUUGAGGAACUCAGCACGCCGCAAGGCCGGGUUUUUAACCACGUUCGUGCUUAGGAUGCUGGCAUAAUGGCUUUAAUCGACCCGUCUUGAAACACGG